Molecule: ribosomal RNA, 471 nt
Filed under: Pseudomonadales bacterium 'ARUP UnID 535'
Lineage: Bacteria; Pseudomonadati; Pseudomonadota; Gammaproteobacteria; Pseudomonadales
Description: bacterial SSU rRNA
Rfam family: Bacterial small subunit ribosomal RNA
Source: RNAcentral
AUUGAACGCUGGCGGCAGGCCUAACACAUGCAAGUCGGGCGGUAACAGGCUUUUCGGAGUGCUGACGAGCGGCGGACGGGUGAGUAAAGUCUAGGAAUCUGCCCAGUAGUGGGGGACAACGCGGGGAAACUCGCGCUAAUACCGCAUACGCCCUACGGGGGAAAGGUGCUUUAUUGUACCGCUAUUGGAUGAGCCUAGAUCAGAUUAGCUAGUUGGUGGGGUAAAGGCCCACCAAGGCGACGAUCUGUAGCUGGUCUGAGAGGAUGAUCAGCCACACUGGGACUGAGACACGGCCCAGACUCCUACGGGAGGCAGCAGUGGGGAAUAUUGGACAAUGGGCGCAAGCCUGAUCCAGCCAUGCCGCGUGUGUGAAGAAGGUCUUCGGAUUGUAAAGCACUUUAAGUUGGGAGGAAGGGGUAGAGUAAUGACCUACUUUUGACGUUACCAACAGAAUAAGCACCGGCUAACUUC